UACGAAGGGAGCUAGCGUUGUUCGGAAUCACUGGGCGUAAAGCGCACGUAGGCGGAUGUGUCAGUCAGGGGUGAAAUCCCGGAGCUCAACUUCGGAACUGCCUUUGAUACAGCACAUCUGGAGUCCGGAAGAGGUGGGUGGAAUUCCUAGUGUAGAGGUGAAAUUCGUAGAUAUUAGGAAGAACACCGGUGGCGAAGGCGGGUCUCUGGACAGUUCCUGACGCUGAGGCACGAAGGCCAGGGGAGCAAACGGG
This 253-nucleotide ribosomal RNA is filed under the name uncultured bacterium. RNAcentral's name for it is "partial 16S ribosomal RNA". It matches the Rfam family "Bacterial small subunit ribosomal RNA", at positions 524 to 776 of the family's 1533-position model. The record is from RNAcentral.